GUGCUCACUCCGACAUCAUAUAUACUAAAAUUGGAACGAUACAGAGAAGAUUAGCGUGGCCCCUGCGCCAGGAUGACAUGCAAAUUCGUGAAGCGUUCCAUAAAAAA
This 107-nucleotide small nuclear RNA is filed under the name Propithecus coquereli (Coquerel's sifaka). Lineage: Eukaryota; Metazoa; Chordata; Mammalia; Primates; Indriidae. The record is from RNAcentral.